RNAcentral lists this ribosomal RNA (545 nucleotides) under Umbonium costatum. RNAcentral's name for it is "partial 16S ribosomal RNA". It matches the Rfam family "Bacterial large subunit ribosomal RNA", at positions 1819 to 2597 of the family's 2925-position model. The record is from RNAcentral. Lineage: Eukaryota; Metazoa; Mollusca; Gastropoda; Trochida; Trochidae.
GUCUCCCUGAAAAAUUGCUUAUAGGGAGUCGAACCUGCCCAGUGACUGUAAUGUUAAACGGCCGCGGUACCCUAACCGUGCAAAGGUAGCAUAAUCAUUUGCCUUUUAAUUGGAGGCUCGUAUGAAUGGUUUGACGAGAGCCAUGCUGUCUCUUUUAAAAUAGCUAGAAAUUAACUUUUAGGUGAAGAGGCCUAAAUAGAGCUGAGGGACAAGAAGACCCUGUUGAGCUUUAGUAUAUUUAGAUUAAGUGAAUUUUAAUGUUGUAGUUUUCAUUUUAUGUAAUGUUUUAAUCUAAAGAUUCUUUAGUUGGGGCGACUGAGGAACAUAAAAAGCUUCCUUGAAUUUUUUAGUAUUGUGCAUUUAUGUUGGUAGAUUAAUUUGAUCCGGCUUUUGUCGAUUAAGAGAAAAAGUUACCACAGGGAUAACAGCGUAAUCUUUCUGGAGAGAUCAUAUCGAAAGAAGGGUUUGCGACCUCGAUGUUGGACUAAGAUAUCCUAAAGGUGUAGAAGCUUUUGAGGGUUGGUCUGUUCGACCAUUAAAAUCUU